RNAcentral lists this long non-coding RNA (896 nucleotides) under Heterocephalus glaber (naked mole-rat). RNAcentral's name for it is "lncRNA (ENSHGLG00000033876.1)". The record is from RNAcentral. Lineage: Eukaryota; Metazoa; Chordata; Mammalia; Rodentia; Bathyergidae.
GAAAAUUCUACUCAACUCCCCGCCACCACCACCACCACCACGAAGUUGUUUUCUGGUUCUGAGAGUAAAAGUGUUUCCCAAACUAUGUAUUCCAUCCUCCCUGGUAGCACAGACAUGAAAAUGAAAUUGAAGAGACACCCUAACGCCUGCACUUCUGUCUGUGUGCACAUGGGAAAUGACUGCACUCAGGUAAUCUGGAAUCUACUUGUCACAGUUUGUAGAUUUUAUGAUGCAAUUUUUGUCCAGUAAUUUUAGCAAAAACAUAUUGAAGAUGUAUAUUGUCCUGAUGAGAACUGGAGCGAGAUGGUGGAGAAAGGAGCCAUCUAAGAUUCAUGCAAUGGAUUUUCAAAUCCAAUGACUGUUUAUGAAAAUAAUUUUGUACCCUCAGCAUCUAUGUUCAAUGCAGCUGAAAUCUUCCCAGAGCGAAGAAAUGCAUCAAAAAAGAAAAAGGAAAUGAAGAAAGAGGGAAGAAAAGAGAAAAAAGAAAGGAAACAGAUUUUACUUUUAGCUCAUCUUCAGAUUUGCAAGAGACAAUAAGUGAGAUUCAUUAGGCCAUUUGUUUCUGUCAUCUGCCAUGAUUCAAAAUGAAAUACUAAAUGUUUCAUGGACUCAGAAAAAGAGGAAAAUUUGUCUUUGUGUUGGCUGUGUGAAGACGGUGUGUCUUCCAGCCCCAUCCGAGGGGUCUGACGGAUGAAGGGGGAAGGGUGGUACCGUCUGAGUGAUGAUGGGCUAAUAUCAUCACCCUCUUGUCAGCUGUAAUAGGCUUUUCCUCACAGAAAUAAUUCAUAAAACCACUACAUUAUAUUCUAUCCCUGACAGCCCCUAUCUAUCCUCCAACCCAGCAGGCUUACAACUAAUAAGAAAAUAUGUGGUUCAGGAACCUUGAAAAAUUAAAC